UACGUAGGGUGCGAGCGUUGCCCGGAUUUAUUGGGCGUAAAGGGCGCGUAGGCGGCUCGGCACGUCCGUUGUGAAAUCGCCCGGCUCAACUGGGCGGGGUCAGCGGAUACGGUCGAGCUUGAGCAAGCUAGGGGGCAAUGGAAUUCCCGGUGUAGUGGUGGAAUGCGUAGAUAUCGGGAGGAACACCAGUGGCGAAGGCGGUUGCCUGGAGCUUUGCUGACGCUGAGGCGCGAAAGCGUGGGGAGCGAGCCGG
This 253-nucleotide ribosomal RNA is filed under the name uncultured bacterium. Its description in RNAcentral is "partial 16S ribosomal RNA". It matches the Rfam family "Bacterial small subunit ribosomal RNA", at positions 524 to 776 of the family's 1533-position model. The record is from RNAcentral.